UACGUAGGGGGCGAGCGUUGUCCGGAUUCAUUGGGCGUAAAGAGCUCGUAGGCGGCUUGGCAAGUCGGAUGUGAAAACUCCAGGCUCAACCUGGAGCCGCCAUUCGAUACUGCUAUGGCUAGAGUCCGGUAGGGGAGUGUGGAAUUCCCGGUGUAGCGGUGAAAUGCGCAGAUAUCGAGAGGAACACCUGCGGCGAAGGCGGGUAGCUGGGCCGACACUGACGCUGAGGCGCGAAAGCCAGGGGAGCGAACGGG
Molecule: ribosomal RNA, 254 nt
Filed under: uncultured bacterium
Lineage: Bacteria
Description: partial 16S ribosomal RNA
Rfam family: Bacterial small subunit ribosomal RNA
Source: RNAcentral